UUUGAGGUGGACGAGGAGAGUGAGGGCAUUGUCGACGUGCCGAAAGGAAGAGCGGGCAAUUACACCAACAAAGAUGACAUCUUACUAUGCUAUACUUGGUUGCAAGUGUCGAGGGAUCCAUCCGUUGGAGGUGAUCAAAGUAGAGAUGCUUAUUGGGGGCGGAUGAAAGAACACUUUGAUGCUCACAACGUGAGUGGAAUUGACCGCUCCGAGAGAUCACUUCGGUCCCGAUGGUCGACAAUCAACUUGGAUUGUCAAAAGUGGGCGGCCGAACAAAAAUCGGUUGACAAGUUGAACCCAAGUGGCACAAAUGAGGACGAUAGAAACUUGUUCAAAGAAGAGGUGAGGACAACCAAGAAGGGGAAGAUCAAGAAAGGACGGAUCUUUACAUUGCCUCAUUGCUAUGAAGUGUUGAAGGAUGAUGAGAAAUGGAAGAAGCGUGAUGGUUUGGAUGAUUUGCAUUGGAGCAACAAAUGCAAGCGAACAAUUGAGUUGAAUGAUGAUGAUGAGGAGGAAGAGGAUGAUGCAUCAAGUGAUGACGGCAAGAGAAGCCCCACACCCAACUCGGUUUCAUACUCGAAGCCAAAACGACCGGAUGGUGCAAGAAAGAAAAAACCGAAAAGAAGAAGAGGAAAGGAGAUGAUGAGCUCAAAAAUGCUAUGGAAGCUAUUGUGA
This 675-nucleotide ribosomal RNA is filed under the name Triticum aestivum (bread wheat). Its description in RNAcentral is "partial small subunit ribosomal RNA". The record is from RNAcentral. Lineage: Eukaryota; Viridiplantae; Streptophyta; Magnoliopsida; Poales; Poaceae.